RNAcentral lists this ribosomal RNA (312 nucleotides) under Triticum aestivum (bread wheat). Its description in RNAcentral is "partial small subunit ribosomal RNA". The record is from RNAcentral. Lineage: Eukaryota; Viridiplantae; Streptophyta; Magnoliopsida; Poales; Poaceae.
AUGUUUGUGUUUCUAACUAAUGUUGGGGAUUAUGGAAAUCGGAUGUGUGCAUGGACCAACUUUUGGAUCAAACCAGGGCCCAGAAAACCAGACAUAACAGAAGAGCCUUUGUCGUUUUCCACUAAAAAUAUCAGCGUGAUCUGCUUUCAUGGCAACAUUUAUUUAGCAUGUCCUGUUUUGAUUUCAUUGUAUUUUCUGUCCCAUCAUAUUUCAGGUAGUACUAAGCUUGCAGUUCCAUGUUCAGUAUUUAGAUUAUGCUUAGAAAUACUUUGUCAGUUAGUACUAACUACCAAGUUUGCAGUUCAAUGUUAA